GUUCCUUAAACUUCAUAAAAUACGCGAUUACUUGAUAGGAGCCCCUGCUGGCUACGCGCUUGAAAUCAGGCACUCCAAGCGGGAUUGAUCAUAAAUAGUUGACACAUUUCCGUACAUCGUUUAAAAAAGUAUUAUCACUAUAAGACCAGGGCUUCAAAUCCGCUUUCAGGAAUUUUGAAUUCUAUAUUACAGGAACUUUGAUAAGAG
Molecule: long non-coding RNA, 207 nt
Organism: Gordionus sp. m RMFG-2023
Lineage: Eukaryota; Metazoa; Nematomorpha; Gordioida; Chordodea; Parachordodidae
Exons: 3
Source: RefSeq, a predicted model, not a curated record